GUGGGGAAUAUUGGACAAUGGGCGAAAGCCUGAUCCAGCCAUGCCGCGUGUGUGAAGAAGGUCUUCGGAUUGUAAAGCACUUUAAGUUGGGAGGAAGGGCAGUAAGUUAAUACCUUGCUGCUUUGACGUUACCGACAGAAUAAGCACCGGCUAACUUCGUGCCAGUAGCCGCGGUAAUACGAAGGGUGCAAGCGUUAAUCGGAAUUACUGGGCGUAAAGCGCGCGUAGGUGGUUCGUUAAGUUGGAUGUGAAAGCCCCGGGCUCAACCUGGGAACUGCAUCCAAAACUGGCGAGCUAGAGUACGGUAGAGGGUGGUGGAAUUUCCUGUGUAGCGGUGAAAUGCGUAGAUAUAGGAAGGAACACCAGUGGCGAAGGCGACCACCUGGACUGAUACUGACACUGAGGUGCGAAAGCGUGGGGAGCAAACAGGAUUAGAAACCCCAGUAGUCC
This 450-nucleotide ribosomal RNA is filed under the name uncultured bacterium. Its description in RNAcentral is "partial 16S ribosomal RNA". It matches the Rfam family "Bacterial small subunit ribosomal RNA", at positions 354 to 796 of the family's 1533-position model. The record is from RNAcentral.